This is a long non-coding RNA of Oncorhynchus tshawytscha (Chinook salmon), 661 nucleotides long. The record is from Ensembl. Lineage: Eukaryota; Metazoa; Chordata; Actinopteri; Salmoniformes; Salmonidae.
GGCAGGUAGACUAGAGGGGCGGCAGGUAGACUAGAGGGGAGGCAGGUAGACUAGAGGGGAGGCAGGUAGACAGGUAGACUAGAGGGGCGGCAGGUAGACUAGAGGGGCGGCAGGUAGACUAGAGGGGCGGCAGGUAGACUAGAGGGGCGGCAGGUAGACUAGAGGGGAGGCAGGUAGACUAGAGGGGAGGCAGGUAGACUAGAGGGGCGGCAGGUAGACUAGAGGGGCGGCAGGUAGACUAGAGGGGAGGCAGGUAGACUAGAGGGGCGGCAGGUAGACUAGAGGGGCGGCAGGUAGACUAGAGGGGAGGCAGGUAGACUAGAGGGGCUGCAGGUAGACUAGAGGGGUGGCAGGAAGACUAGAGGGGCUGCAGGUAGACUAGCGGGGAGGCAGGUAGACUAGAGGGGAGGCAGGUAGUCUAGAGGGGAUCCGUACAGAAAUGGUUUGUCGAGAUCGGUGUGGCCUGCACAGAGACCUGACCUCAACCCCAUCGAACACCUUUGGGAUGAAUUGGAAAGCCGACUACAAGCCAGGUCUAAUCGCCCAACAUCAAUGCCCGACCUCACUAAUGCUCUUGUGGCUGAAUGGAAGCAAGUCCCCGCAGCAAUAUUCCAACAUCUAGUGGAAAGCCUUUCCAGAAGAGUGGAGGCUGUUACAGCAG